CUGUGGCUCUCAACACCUUGCUCUGUAACAAAAAUAAGUUAACUCUUGCAUUUUAUUUUUGUCUUUUCUUCUUGUGAUUUUGGAUAAUUUGCAUGUUUACUGAGGUCUAUAUUUUUCAUGUUAUCUAGUUGAUAUUACAAGAGUAGUGUUAACCAAGUGAAAUAAUGAAGUAUUAUCAAUGUAAACUAAAUACAUUUAUUUAAUUAUAGUUUAAUAUUUAAAUUAUUAUGUAUAAUAGUUCACUAUGUAAAGAAUUAGCAUGAGGUCUUGUUAACAUGCAAACCACACUGUCCAAGAGGGAUUUUUCUGCCACUUUUUAAGUAUUUAAUACUGAUACUUUUCAAAAUGAAUAAAGCAAGCCAGGUGCAGUGCCUAAAAUUGCAGCUUCUGGGAAGAAUGAGGCAGGAGGGUCAAAAUUUU
Molecule: long non-coding RNA, 420 nt
Filed under: Marmota monax (woodchuck)
Lineage: Eukaryota; Metazoa; Chordata; Mammalia; Rodentia; Sciuridae
Source: RNAcentral